This 29740-nucleotide long non-coding RNA is filed under the name Ananas comosus (pineapple). RNAcentral's name for it is "long non-coding RNA (ACOM_LNC017475)". Lineage: Eukaryota; Viridiplantae; Streptophyta; Magnoliopsida; Poales; Bromeliaceae. The record is from RNAcentral.
ACCAAACGACCCAUAAUAUAUACCAACAGAGUACAAAUACAUAUAGGAAGCAACAAACCAAACGGCCCCUAAUACCAGCAAAUUACAAAUACAUGUAGCAAGAACCAAACUAAAAGCAGAAAUACAUCUCGUACAGGGCAAGCCAAAACGAGCAUAACACAACUAAAAGGAUUUGGCAUAAAUCGACUCUAAAAUCCUUUUACGUACUCUAAAAGGUUGACCUGAUAGUGAACACUAGUGGAAAAUAGGUUUUAACACAUCACCAAGCAAGACAAAAGCAUAUUAUUUUUGAACGAAACACACAUCACCAUGCAAGACACAAAACACAACGAACAUCAGCUGAAGGAUGGGAAUAGAUGUCUUCCUUUCCUCAGCAUGAAGCAUGCUGCCUUUCUCACGACUUCCUGAUCAUUACAAAAAAUAAAAGUUUAGGGUUUGUUGGGAAGAGUUUCAGGUCAUGUAAAUACGUUUCGAGGGUUGUUUUGUACCUGCUUUUUUUUUUAUUUGUCCUUAGGUUUGUUCUUAUCCGGAGUUUUGUCGUUAUUUGGUUUUUCGUUCUUCAAGUUUGUUGCCUUCUUCCUGUUGCCAAAUUUAUCAGCUUAAUGAAUAAAACAAUAACAUGCUAACUUCCUCUCAAAAAAUAAAAUUACAAAAAUAAAAGCUUGUACGUACUCAGGUUAAUUUGCUCCAAGGAGGGGGAAAAUAGCCUAGAGUACCAAAAAUAAGAAUAUAUAUAUAUAUAUAUAUAUAUAUAUAUAUAUAUAUAUAUAUAUAUAUAUAAAUAGGCUGGAAUACUAUUAAUAGCACCAAUGACUUGGUGCUAUUAAGUUUUCUGCCAUUGGAUUAAAAUAUGUGCGGUUAGGAUGAUAUGAGUNAAAUACCCCCACGUGGUUUCACUUUUUCUCACGUUAGUACCCUGUGAUUUAAAGUGUAUCAAAUUAGUACUCUGUGGUUCUUCUCUUUUUAUUAUCCAUUUCACUAAUUUUUUUCGUUAAAUCAGUAACAAAGUUAAAAUUAAACGGUACUAAAGUGAAUAUUCGAUAAACCUAGGUAUAGUAUCUGAAGUUUUUUGUAUAUUACUUAACGAAAUAUUAACGGAGGAAAAAAAAAAUAGUGACAAAGUUAAAACUAAAGGGUACUAAUGUAAAUAUUCGAUAAAUUUAGGUAGGUUAUUUGAAAUUUUUUGUAUAUAAUUUAACAAAAUAUUAACAGUGGAGCCGGCGAAAAGAGAAAAAUGAAACCACAGAGUACUAAAUUGAUACACUUUACAUGGUACUAACGUGAGAAAGUGCGAAACCACAUGAUACCAAAUUAAUAUACUUCAACCUAUAGGGUACUAAAGUAAAAAGCGCAAAACCACAGGGGCGGUAUUUGAAAUUUUUCAUAUAUAUAUAUAUAUAUAUACAUAUAUAUAUAUAUAUAUAUAUAUAUAUGCACUAUUUUUAGGCCAUUACAGGGUCCUGUUUUGUCAUCAAAUUUUAAAAUGAUCUCCUCUACCUACAAGGCCAUUUAUUUAUUUUAUCAUAAGAAAAUGACUUAGUGGUCAUAUUUUACUGCACCAUUCUCUACCGAAUAAAUUGCACUAUUACCCCCUAAACUUUUGACGAAGUUUUAUUUUACCCUCAAGCUUCUAAAAUAGACAUUUAACACUCUAAACUCUAAUAUUUUAUUCAUGUUACCCUUCCGUCGGUUUACCAUCAAGCUCCGUUAAUCAAAAAUUGACAAAAGGAGUAAUAUGAAUGAAAUAUUAGAGUUUAAGAUGUUAAAUGCCUAUUUUAUAAAUUUGGGGGGUAAAGUGAAACUCCACCAAAAGUUUAGGAGGGUAACAAUAUAAUUUAGCCUAUUUUUUUUUAAAAAAAAUAAACCAUAGCACAAAUUACCCUAUAUUUUAUUGUAUAAAAGAAAAGAAAAAUAAAUUAGGGUGGCUUAAAAAUAAGAAAAGAGAGACACUAACUAGCUAGCUACAAUGUUCGAAUACACUACUCUCCCGAUGUACUUGCUAAUAUAGUUGAUUUUACAAUAAGUAUCUUCACUCGAAUAUAGAAAUUUUAAUUUUUAGUUAAUUCCCUAUAGUACUCAUCAUUUCUCGCCUGUAUCUCUAGAGGCAUUGUUUUAGUGAAUGCACUUACUCUCUAUGAAAUUAUGCAACGUAAUUUUAUUAUAAUCUAAAAUCAAAAUUUUAUAUAUCUUUUUAACCAAUUAGAAAUUUUGAUUAUAAAAAUAUAAUAUUAUUUUAUAAUAAAUUAAAAUUUUUUAAAUAAAAUUAGUGAUAUUAGAUUAAGAGAUGCUGAAUAUCAUCUCAUCCUUCGGAUAUCAAUGGCACACGCUGUGUAGGCGAUCUAAUCCAUUUAUUUUAUUUUUAUUUUUUUAAUAUUUUUCUUGAAACUAUCCUAUUAAUAUAAGCAAAUGUUUUUUUUGUAAAAUUUUUUUUUUCAACAACCAAAUAUUUCUAUUGCCCUCUAAACUUUUAGUAGAGUUCCACUUUACCCGCUGUGUAGAGUUCCACUUUAUAAUAUAUUAGUUUAAAUUCAAACUGAAAAUUAAAUAUUAAAAAUUUACGUCAAAAUUUUAAAAUAAUGUCAAAAUUUAAAUAUAUAUUUUUAAAAAAUUAAAAUUUGAAAUUGAAUGGAUAAUUCAAAAUACAAAACUAAAUUUCAAUUUAUUCAAAUUUAAACUUAAAAUUAUAAUUUAAAUUUCAAUUUGAAGGCAUAAAUUUAAUUUAAAUUUUAGAUAAAAUUUGAAUAAAACUUUAUAUUUUAAUUUAAAUUUAAAUUUAUAAAUUAGAUUCAAAAUGCUUAAUUGAAUUUUAAUUUUUAAUUUAAGUUCAAAUGAAAAAGAAAAUUUAUAAAUAUAAUUUUUAAACUUAAAUUUAUGUUUUAAUUAAAAAAUAAGCUUAAAAAAGUUAAAUUUAAUCCGAAUAAUUCAUUCUGCUCGGAUUCAAUUUUCAAUCUGGCUUUUUAGGUCGAAUUGAGAAAAAGGGUAAAUGGGGGGAUUCCUAUUCACCUAGGAAUCGGAAUGGAAAUCCCGCAUACCAAACACGAACAAACGAUUCGUCCAUUCUGAUUCCGAUUUCAAGGUGAAAAAUGGGCGAACCAAACACGCCCUAAACUCUAAUAUUUCAUUCAUGUUACCCCUUUCAUCAAUUUUCGGCUAACGGAGUUUGACGGAAAACUGGCCAAAUGGGUAAUACGAAUGAAAUAUUAGAGUUUAGAAUAUUAAAUGUCUAUUUUAGAAGUUUGGGAGUAAAGUGAAACUUCGCCAAAAGUUUAGAAGGUAACGCACUACAACAAAAACGGUUUAUAGCGACACUUUUAAAUGUCGGUAUAGGUAAAAAAAAGUGCUGCUAGCUAAAUUACCGACACUUUAAAAAGUGUUGUUAUAUGUGGGGUCGCUAGGUAUAUAGUGACAGUUAAAGAGUGUCGCUAUAACCUAAAAAGAGUGCUGCUAAUUUACCAACACUUAUUUAAGCAUUUAGCAACCGUCGGAACUAUAUCACGUUGGCUGCGGUGGCGGAGGAGGAGAAGAGGGAAAGGCUCUUCGUCUAGAAUUUCAGUGGAUUGAGUGAGGGGAGAAGGGAAGAUGGUAAUCGAAUUUUUUUUUUUUUUUCUUUUCUGUUUGUAAUCGGGCUGAAUGGGCUGGGUGAGGUGGGUUGAGUAGAAUAAUAUUUUAUUUUUUGUUGGAUUGGGUUUUAUAUUUAGGCAUUAAUAGAUUUUUUUUAAGUUUUGGCAUAAAUGGACACUUACACAAAAAUGUUUCGAACAUGUGUUUCUAUAACCUAAUUUUGUUGUAGUGACGGUACAAUUUACUCCUAUAUAUGAUCGAAUUAUUCUCCUUAUAAAUCAAUUGCCACAUGACUUCUAAUAAACAAAAGAGAGAUAUACUAAACAAGAUAUUCACAUAUUCAAACUUAUUCAGUAUAUCACUUUUGCACUCAAGGACUCACAACAAUUUGUAAAUAAAGAGUAGAUCAUUAAUUACCUACAAGAGCACAGUGUAUACGUACCGUUCUUCAGACGAAUCCGGUUUGUUGUCACCUUGAGCUUGGUUUUCAGAACGGGGAGUGGAUGAAUUGGCGGGAUGAAGCUUCGAAGAAGUGGUUGGAGUUGUGCGUGAGGUUGAGUUGGCUACAGUCAUGGAUGAUGAGGCCAGGGUUGAUAGAGUGGACAAGCAUGCGGUAGAUGAGGAAGAGACAAGCAAGGAAGCGACGGCAGCGGACGAGGAUGUCACUUCAGCUGGAUGAAAGCAGAAAUCUCAACUAAAUCAGUAAUAAAGUCUCCAGAAAUCCUACUAAAAUUUCUUAAGAGAAGUUUUUUAUUUUUAUUUUGAAGAAUUGGAAGGUAUGUUUGAUGUUGAGGAUUCAAGCAGUAAUAGGUAAAAGAGAACCAUUGCCACCGCAAAUAUUAUCACUACAACAAUUUAUAUAUAAAUUGAAUCGCGAGUUUUACUGUGGCCGACGUGGCCGCUUCUCCGCACUCGCGAGGAAGAGAGGAAGAGAGAAAGGGAAAAGAGAGAGANUUGUAACGACCCAGCCAACUAGCAAUAAUAACUUGUUGGGCCCAACCACAGCCCAAAAUGCUUAAGCCUAGUUAUUAUUACUAGUGUCUAAGUCACUUAUAAACCCAAUGACAACCCCAUUCCCAUCCGAUGUGGGACUAUUGGGGUGUCACAGACUCCCCCUGUUAAGGCCCUGACGUCCUCGUCAGUCCAAUCACACACACAGCCCAAGAUUACCAGGCGAUGUGAGACUCGUCUCGCUAGCCCGUCAGCCAGACCCUGGCUCAGCCGAGACUCGCCACACAUGUCCAGCUGGUGAACCGGCUCUGAUACCAAAUGUAACGACCCAGCCAACUAGCAAUAAUAACUUGUUGGGCCCAACCACAGCCCAAAAUGCUUAAGCCUAGUUAUUAUUAUUAGUGUCUAAGUCAUUUAUAAACCCAAUGACAACUCCAUUCCCAUCCGAUGUGGGACUAUUGGGGUGUCACAUGGAUUGAAUUGUUUUGCACCAUUCAAAGCACCAUUUAUUCUUCUGUAGCCACAACUGAAUCAUAAUGUGUAGGAAUAAUGAUUUAAGUUUGAGAGAUUUUAAGAACAGUACAAAAUUUUCAAAUAUCACACUAUGAGGUUAAUAUUCCACGUAUUAAUUUUUUUUUUUUUUUUGAGAGACGCUACCCACUUCGUUUAUUUCAUUUAGAAAUAAACUUAGCUAGAAAUGUGAAUCAACUAGGAUUCGAACUUGGAUCUCGGGUACCAACCACCAAACCCUUUGCUGCUUGCUCUAGGGACGGUCGGUAUGCUUGCUAUGGUCUUUGAAACAUAAUUUUGGGUCAUCAAUGUGUUUUAGUUAGUGUGUGCAUGUGGGCAUUUAGCAAGUACUCAGUAGUGUUAUAUCAAGAAAAUGAAAAAUUACUCAAAACAAGUGUUGAGUUUUCGUAGGCUAUCUUUAACUUGGUUUUGCAGGCCUAUCAUGUUCGAUAUUUAAUCUAUACUGACACAAAAGUUUUUGUCAUGUUAGCUUCAAUUGGAGGGUAUUAACAUUUAACAAGAUUACUGUGCAUUGCAUGUAACCUUUAAUCAAAACUGACCUUUGAAUCACAUGGUUUAUCUACUUCGCGCGUGUUUCGAAUGUUGUGGUACUUUUAUUAAUCCCCAUAUGAGUCAUCCACGUGGCAAGUUUUUCUUACCUUAUAGCGUGGGACCUGCCUGUCAGCAUUACGUACUUUUUUUUUAUUGAAAUAUGUAUAUAUAUACAAACAGGAAGGGGGAAAAAUAGAACAAUUCAACAACAUUAUUCUACUUACUAAACUCGACCGGAAAAAAAUAGCCCAAAAAAAAGGGCAAUAUAUAGAAAAGUAUAAAUAAGGAAGCUAAUUAACAAGGUAAAAAUUAUCACCUCAUGUCCUUGAUAUGUGAAGAUUAUGAUCAGAGAUGAUCAAGGUUGAGCUCGAGUAACUUUCCUCAAGAGCACUUUCAUAAGCAGCAGUCAUUCCAAUAUCUUCUUCCAUAAAAGCACUUGUAUAUUUUGAAAGCUUUACAAUUCUGCUUUUACAUCUAAUGUGAAAUAUGAUCAUCCUCGAUGCAUUUUCUCUUCACAGUACACAUGCAAGAAUUAUAAUUAUUAUCUUCAAACGUAGAAGUAGUAUUUCAGCGUUCAUAUGCAUUAUGUUUGGUUAAUGCUGACUUCUUAUUGCCAUGCUUCCUUGCUACCAUUUUCUAUAUGCAAUCUCACGCGCGCUCUUUUGCGCUGCUCAUACUCGAGAGAGAGAGAAAUCUCUAGAGCUAUUUGGGUAAUAAACGAUCUUAGCAUUUCUGGCGCUUCCUCGGUUAUCCUGGUAAUACUCCCGAAUACAAUUAAACCGUUGAUUGUUGUUUGGUACAAUUUCUGUCAAAAAAAAAAAAUAAGUGUGUGAGAGAGAGAAAGCUUGUUAGAGAUAGAGAGAGAGAGAGAGAGAGAGAGCCCAACAAGGGAUAGUGAGGUGCUCUUCGUUCAAGAUUUUUCUUUCUGUUGUAACGAUAUCGGAAGUUCCUUCGUAAAGGUUGUCUGUGUAUCAAUGGUUCGUUUCAUUCAAAUAAUUAAAAAUAAGAAUAUACUGAUCCUAAUUUGUAGAUAUAAAUUAAGUAGAUAACACUACAAGGAAAUGGAGCUCUACCGACGUUUUUUUAGGGAUGCUUCGUUUGAGCGUCGGCAAAUCCCAAUUUAUCUCCUAAAUUAUCGAUGCUUAGGGUAAGCGUCGACGAAAUAAAAUUUUAGGCGCUGAAAUAAUUAAGUGCCCGCGAAACGCUACGCCCGCGAAACGCCCGCAUAGCGCGAAAACAUAGCGCCAAAAGUGAUAAAAAAAAAAAACCCUAAGCCUCAUAUUAGUUCUAUUUUCACAUUUCCUCUGUCACUACAUGCCUUUUUCCAUUCCCACCUUCCUUCACAGGUGAAGAAGAAGGUGAUCUCCCGCAUCCAUCGCUGCGCCCUCUCCCGCCUCUGCCGCCGCUCCCACUUCUCCGCCCAAUCCCACCGCCAAUUCGUCUAGGGCGCCCAGCUCCUCGCCCGCGCCCGCUCCUUCUCCAUUUCCUCCGCCUCCACCUCCACCUCCGCCCUCGCCCACUCCGCCAUCGCAGAGGCCGCUGCUGCCCUCGACGCUUGCGAUGCCGCGCCCCACAUCUUGAAGGCCCUCGCCCUCGACCUCUUCGGCCACCGCCUCCCCUUGCUCCGAUCUCUCGACGCCGCCCUCUCCCACCAGCCACCAAAUCCCUUUCCCCCAACGAGUGUGGCAACGCCCUCUUCAAGUGCGCCUGGAUCCAGCUCGCCCUCAACCACCAACGCUGCCUCGACGCAGCCCUCGCCGACCUCCUCGACACCGCGCGCAGGGCUUAUGGAUGGAAUGAGAAACUUGAAUGAGCUUCUGGAGCUGGAUGCAGAAGCUCUGAUAUGAAGUUUAGCUUCAGCAGGAAUCUUCUGGUACUUACUAAUUAAAAAACUUGUAGGGCUUUUCUAAAGAAUCUACUCAAAGAGCAUUGAUUUCUAUAGAAGGUCUAUAUAGGCCCCAAGUUUAUGAGUCUGAGUUUUGAAACAUAUUGUGAAUUAAAAGUAGUGACAGAGUCUGUCAACCUCCAGAUUUUGAGAAAUAGUAUGUGCAGAAUGAAGCAAAAUAAUAGUUAUAUCUUAAAAUUUGCAUUCAUUUACCCAAGUAUCCUUCCGCUAUUGAAAAACAUGGUCGUAUUAAAAAGGUAGUUGAUACUAAAUUUUAAUAGGCCACACUCUUCUUUUGAAAAGAUAGGUGCUUAAAUUAUCUGGAAAGCAUGAGAAGUAGGUGACAUAUUUAGGCCUUGUUUUGUUAUGCAUCAAUUUUACAUUUUUUUCCCCUUUUUUUUCUCUUUCACUUAAUUCCAUGCUUUGCGUAGUCUGAUGACAGAUUGUUUGCAAUCUCUGCAACAUUGGUGUUUGUUUUUUUUUUUUUAAGUAGUAGGAACAAUUAUCUCUAAGGCCUUUGCCAUCCUCGGCGAGUGCUACCAGCACAAGGGAUCCGUCGAGGCUGCACGGUGCACCUUCGACCCUGCCAUUUGGAUUGACGCCUGCUUGGAAUUGGCUCGGCAGGACCUACAGAGGCUAUCCGGAUCCAGAGGCAGAGACAUGAGCAGCUGAGUAAGGGUUUUCUUCCCCUGUCCCUCUCCGUCUUUCUUGUUUUUGUUCCAUUUCGUGUAGGGUUUUUGAAAGUUGGAUUGUUCAAUUUCUCUUUCGAUUUCUUUACAGGACAAGAAGGCUCCAUAGCUCAAGCUCUCUCUUCGAUCUCAUUAUUGAGGACAUGAGAUCCGGUCCAUCCAUAGUUCGAAUACCAGUCCCUUGCUGAACCCAGCCUCUUCUUACAGGAAUUUCCAUUGAUAACUUGUGAUGCUGCAUUUACUCCCUCAACUGCCAAAGUUGUUCUUGGUACGUAGAUUGAGACAUUGGAUUGCAAACUAUUACUGUAAAACUCAUAACGAGUUUCGGAUCCGAUCCAUACCGCGGGGGGCUCCGCCCCCCGCACCCCCUGGCGAAUGUCAGUGGUGGGCUACGGGCUCGGGCCUGUCGGCCCGAGNNNNNNNNNNNNNNNNNNNNNNNNNNNNNNNNNNNNNNNNNNNNNNNNNNNNNNNNNNNNNNNNNNNNNNACAGAUUUACGUGGAAAAUCCUUUGCAGGGAAAAACCACGGGCGAGGGAGGAGAGAACUUCACUAUGGAACGAAAAAGGGAAUACAAAGUUCUUCAGGUUACAACCAACCACGAUCACACGCCUCUAGGGCAUAAACGAUAAACGAAAAAGGAAAACUCAUAACGGGUUUCGGAUCCGAUCCGUACCGCGGGGGGCGGAGCCCCCCGCACCCCCUGGCGAAUGUCAGUGGUGGGCUACGGGCUCGGGCCUGUCGGCCCGAGCCCUCCGCUACCCACCACAGACAUUCAUUUUUCCUCCAUAUUUUUCUUUUUCAAUUUGGUCGCACCGCGAAACAGUCGGCGAAUCAAAAAUCCGAACUUGAGUCGAAUAUUAAUUUCGAGUCACAUCUAACAAUAUGCUCCAAAAUUUUUUUUGGUUUCUAAAACAUCUUUGCUUCUUUUUUGCGUAAAAUAUUUAGAUAGAACAAACUCUGAAAAAAUGAAGUCUAAUAGAAUUUGUUGGACUGAUCUAACGGUUUGUAUGGUCUUAGAUGCUUGACGUUUGUUAGCAGAUGCCCAUAGCAGAAUUCUUAUGAACUCCCACACAAGGUUAAUUGCUUGAUUGAAUCUUCCAUCAUUUGUCAUUCAACCUUAGCAAGUUGUAGGUACUGAUUGUAGAAAUUUUUGUGUUGUUCUACCAACUCAUUAGCCACCACUUUGUUAGGAAAGAGCUUAAUUGAAUUAAUAUGCUUGAAGUUCUUUUUCCGUCGUUUAACAAUGUACUUUGAUAGAAUUUUAACCACACCUUGAUAAUUUAGCACCGAGAGCACAUGCCUACCUGAAAUACCUUGAAUUGAAAAUAGCAACAAAAUAUAGCUAAAUUCAAACUCAUUUUCACUGUAAAGAACCUCAUAGCUCUUUUGCUAUAAGGCUAAACCAUCUUUCACUCUUGUAUGGUCUAUUACCUCAAAGAAGGAUACUAAUCCAUCAACUUUCACUAGCGAAGGGGUGCAAUAGGUCAAAAUCUUGAUCUCUUCUUGGAAUGUUAAACAUUUCCAAUAUUGUGUAAACCUUGCAUAAUUGCUGUUUCAUGUAAAAUUGUAUUACUAAUUGAAGGCCUAUACUCUAUAUGCACAUGAGAAAAAAGAUCUAAUUUUUUUAGAUUGUAGUGUUUAACAUAGUAAAAUCUUUUUAUCAAAAAAUUUGCUUUGAUAUAUCCUAUAAAAUAUAUUUGUCACCUAAGAAAUGUUAUUGGCUGAUAUUUUUAUGAAAACAAGAUAACUUAGCAUUUUUUUUAUUUGGUACUUUUCUAAAAAUCCUAGAUGGCCCUUAAAUUUUUGUUUGAAACGUGAAACUAGCCAUACAAUUAGUGUUUAAUUCCAGAUAAGCUCUAUCAUGUCAAACAUUUGAUUCACAAGUAAUAUUACACUGCUAAAUAAUAGUUUUAAAUAUUACAGGAAUACAAUUAUUCCUAACCAACACCAUAGCACCGUUCCCGGCUCGACAAACUCAUUGGUAAUAGUUAGUCAAAGCGAAAUUUUUGGAUAAGGAGCUUCAAAAUUCUACAGUGAGGAGAGCAAGAUCUUCUUGGUAUGGUAAAGCUUAUUAUUUUGCAUAUUUUUCUGUAUUUUUUUUUUCAAUUUUGUAGUAUUGUUUUUCUCUUUAUUGANNNNNNNNNNNNNNNNNNNNNNNNNNNNNNNNNNAUAUAUGACAUUUGGCUUGCCCUCUAAGGUCAUUUAUCUUAAUUUCCAUAAUUUUGGAAGUAAGUGUGUUAAUUGAAAUGCUAAAUUUUUUAGUAAGGAGUAUUAGUGUCAACUCUAACUAAAUAUGAAGUUUAGAACAGUCCAUUAUUUAUUUUUAUUGUUUGGGCUCAAUUUUAUAAAGCUAAAUAUCUCUUUCUACCCUAAUGUUUAUAGUUGAGACUGAAGUUCUUGUUCUUUAUUUUACUUUUUUUUUUUAACAUAUGGGUUAUAAUCAUACAGAUUGUGAUACAAUGGACAAAAGUUGGAUAAGUAAGCCGAGAAAUGAUAAUGCGUACAUUGAUGGUGUUAGAAAUUUUAUUAAAUUUGCUAUGGAAAAAUCAUCGAUAAAUGGCAAGAUCUUAUGCCCAUGUCGAAAGUGUUACAACAAUUCUUCUUUUGUACCAGAAGUUGUCGAAGAACAUUUAGUGUGGAACGGUUUUUUAUUAGGUUACAAUGUUUGGGUAUUUCAUGGAGAGUCAUUUGUGACAUCUUCAAGUGAAAUCGAAUGCACUUCAUUUGCUCUAGGGUCUACUAGUGCACAAGAAAGUAGUUCAAGACAAGAUGGUCUAGGAGGAUUGCUACAAGAUGUCUUUGGAAUUAUGGGUACUAAUUUGAAUAAUGAACAAGUAAUGAAUGAGACUAUUCCUAAUAAUUUAGAAGAAUAUAAUGACGAGGCGUAUGCUACCGGAUUUCUCGGCGAGCAAAAUUUUAAUGAGAGGUCAAUGCAAUCAUCACCUAGUGAAACAAUCCGAUAUAAAAACUUGGUGAAAGAUUGUGAUCAAGAAUUAUAUCCAGGUUGUAAAACUUUUUCCAAGAUAUCAUUCAUUCUCCGCUUAUUCCACCUCAAAUGCUUAAACGGGUGGUCUGGAAAAUCCUUUACAAUGUUGCUUCAAUUAUUAAAGGAUUCAUUUCCUGAAGGAACCUCUUUGCCGUCAUCUUAUUAUGAAGCUAAAAAGCUAAUAAAAGAUUUGGGUCUUGGAUAUGAGAAGAUUCAUGUUUGCCCUAAUGAUUGUAUGUUNAUAUAUAUAUAUAUAUAUAUAUAUAUAUAUAUAUAUAUAUAUAUAUAUAUAUAUAGGGGCUGCUGUAGACGUGUGGAAUAGAAUCCACUGCUAAAUUCAGAUAGACCUCGCAAUCUCUACUCGUACCCGUGGAUACUUGCAGGUUAUAUACCGGCAAAUUUGCUGAUAUGGAUACUAGUUUUUUCUACUGAAAAACUUACGGAUAAAACGGAUGGAUGCCCGUUAAGUUGUGGGCAUUUUGGGCAAUCUGCGGGCACUCACAAGCACCUGCAUAUUUUUUUUAAUCAAAAAAUAUAUCAUUUUUAUGAUAUUAACUCUAUAUUAUGUGGCGCGUCAAUUUGGAUUUGUCUAAACCAUCCCUACUCCAUCCAAAUUCUUCACAGCCAAUACUGCCCGUAGUCAUCCUCCAACACUAGUGAGCAUUCCGAGGUAUGGUACUCCUUUUUAGUCCUGCAGAAUCUUCAUGGCCUGAAGACGCACUCCAAGUUGACGCUGAGCAUUGAAGUUUACUGUCCUCAUUAUGUGGCACGUCAAUUUGGAUUUGUCUAAGCCAUCCCUACUCCAUCCAAAUUCAUCACAGCCAAUACUGCCCGUAGUCAUCCUCCUAUGAAGAGAGCAGCUGAAGCAGAUUGGCUUUCAAUUGUGGGGAAUGGCCUCAGGUUUUUACCCCUGUGUGUUUUCAGCCGAACCGUACGAGGUUAGCCGAUCUCCACUUCCAGGGUACCUGAGAGAGCUUUUGUGAGAUCAUUUUUUCCAAGACCUUGUCUCACUGUCUCCAUAACAUCCUUCAUACAAAAGCUAUUUCUUAAUAUAGUCCUAUAUUUCUUUCUUCUUUUGUUUUUUCUCUCUUUAAUCUCUUUUGCUUACUUUAGUUGGCAUUUCUAUGGGUAAAGAGACUGCACUGGACUAUCUGGAACCACAGGAUUUAGGCGAGGAUUCUGACACGGAUCCAAAGGUCUCGCCUCGCCCCUCAGUGGUAUAUUUCGCCUCUCAUGGUACAUCUACCUUUAUUGUGUUUGCGGCUUAUUUCCAUUCUUUUUUUUUUAUUCUUUUUAGCCAGCAUGUGUUUCCAAUCCAUCGGCCAGGCUACCGGAGAAGCAACCGAUUGAAUCUGUUUCUUCAGCUCUGCCGCAGUAGAAGUGGCAAAAAUUGAUUGCUAUUAGGAUUCGAUCUUUUUCUCCUCCUGCAUCGGUUGAAGGUGUGCCAUCUGUGGAGGAGCCGACUGCUGAUACUGUACUGUCAGCUCAAACCACUGUUCCAGUCGAGGAAGUACUUGAGUUUGUCCUGACAAGGGCCCCUACAGAGCCGAUUCCUCCUGAAGAAGACCCUCAACAAGUUUCGUCAUCAGUCGAGAUAAAUUCUCAGCCUAUUUUGAUUAAUUCUCCACCGAGAUAAAUCCUUAGUCUAUUUUGAUUCAUUCUCCUUCGUCUUCUCGCUCUUCAACCGGAUCACCUAUGUUAUCCUCAUCGAUGAGCUGAAGGAGACGACCUCCGAUAAAGCACUGACAAAGAUCUCGUGUGCUCGAUUCACCUCAGCACUCGAAAAGGCCACUACAACAAAAACUUUUAAAUAUCGGUACAGGUGAAAAAAAGUUAUGCUGGCUAAAUUACUAACACUUUCUAAAAGUGUUGCUAUAUAUGGGGUCCUAUAUGUAUAGCUGUCUUGAUGUUUGGCACCCACUCUUUCAGCGACAUGUGGUGGAGGGACACAUGGCGAUCAUAGCCCUCUACGGUCCUUGCGAGAUUCUUGCAGCCGAACUCAAGCUGCCGGAACUCAACCUCGUCAGCUGCUGCGGCAGAGGAGAAGGGAAGAUGGUGAACAAUUUUUUUUUUCUUUUCUAUUUGUAAUCGGGCUGAGUAGGCUGGAUAGGGUUGGUUGAGUAGAGAAACUUUUUAUUUUUUAUUGGAUUGACUUUAUAUUUAGGCUUUAGUAGAUUUUUUAAAAAAGUUUGGCAUAAAUGGGACAUUUACACAAAAGUGUCCCAAAACUGUGUCCCUAUAACCUAAUUCUGUUGUAAUGUAUAAUCAUGUAAACUUUAUUAAUUUUGUAUCGCGAAAAUUUGGGAUGAUAAAAUACUUUUAUAUAAUGUAAUUUAUGCAGUUUAAAAUUUUAUAUUUUUAUUAUAUAUUGUGAUAUUUCAAAUAACAAGUUAUGUUAUGUUUUUAAAAAUUAUAUAUAUAUAUAUAUAUAUAUAUAUAUAUAUAUAUGUGUGUGUGUGUGUGUGUGUGUGUGUGUGUGUGUGUGUGUGUGUGUGUGUGUUUUACAUUUGGAAAGUAUAGGAGCAAAAAAUUUAAAAAAAAAACUCACGGGUAACUCACAUACCUGCCUCGCCAUGGGUAAAAAUAUUGACUACGCAAAAAUUUACGAGUGUUGGCGCCAACAAUAGCGCCACAUGGUAGAGCAACUUGAGCCACGUGAGCAAAGUGACAGGAGUGAGAGAUAAAGUGAGACAUUGUCCACUCAGAGUUGGAAGCCGUAUGCCUAAAACAGAAAGGCGGUUUAGGCGGGAUGCGGUUGAAGACGUGGAGGAAGGAGUUCAUGGCCAGCAAGAAAUCGGCCGAAGCAUAAUCCAAUAAAAUAGGGACGUCGCCGAAUAAACCUCCAUGACGGGAUUAACUCAAUAACGGCAAGCACGAUUAUAAAUAAGAAAAAGUGCGCUUAUAAGAGGGGUCAUUCACACGAGUAAGAGACCAUAACAAAUUUCAAUUUCUUUCUUUUUGGCAUUUACUGCUUUCCUAGGAGUUAGUUUUAGUAGUCAGUAGAUUUUCUUGUUAGUUGUAAUAGAUUUUCUUGUGGUGGAGUAGGGUUAUGAGUAGAGUUUAUCUCUGUAAAAACUUUUGUACCUCUAUUUUGUCCGUUUUUCGAUAAAUAUAAGCCACUCAAUUCAUUCAGCUGAGUUUGUAAAUAGUUGCAAAAGAAUUCGGUUGAGCCGAUCUCUCCUUAACCGAAUCGCUUGAUUUAUCAGUGGUGCACUCGAGGGUAAUCUUAGGAGCUGAUUCACAUUUCGAGGACGAAUUUGACCUGGUCAACGCUUUGAUCCGGUCUGUGUAGCUCCGCAUUCAGUUAGCACAGUAAUUUUUGGCACGCCUAGUGGGACACACUCAGGUACAUCCAAUCUCUCUCAAAUGGCUAACGACAACACAAUGAACCUCUGAAAUAAGACCGCUCCCAGGCCCUUAGGGAAUGACCAAGUCGGUAGUGCCAAAAAUACAAAUGAGCAUCAGGCGAUGCUGCAGUCAGAAGGUGAGAGUAGUGGGCACUCGGCUCAUUAAGAGUCGAGCCUAACACAGGCACUCGAAAAAAUAACCCGAGUCCUGUAGUUUCUGGAUCAGAAUAGUCUCCGGAGUACCGCCUGUUUAGAUGUGAUGCUGGCUGCUAUCACGGUCUCCAACGAAAACAUUACUCGUAUUAGGCAAUUGUUCGCUGGCAGGCCACUAAGCAACCAUAUGGGGGUCCACAAGGACUCCUAGCCUUGCCGGUGCAACAAAAACUUGUUGCGCUGGCAGGCCUGUAGACACAACCCCAGAUAGCACCUUUUCAUGUUGACCAUCAGCCGACAAAUGUAAACGUCGGCCAGCAACCGAAGAUAGUAUGGAGUUUACCCUUGCCACCUCCCUUACCUACCUAUCAACCCCAAAACGAGGGUGUGAGGGCUGGAGGCCAAGGCCCUAACGCAGCGCAGGGAUUUAACCCUGCAGUGCAAAACUACGUACCACCUCUAGAGAUGAACGAAAUUCUGGCCCCUGCUCCUGCCCUUGGAACAGGGAACAAAUGCUUAAAUAGAGGAGGCAAUCCGAAAUACGUUUGGUGUAGGGGCAAGGCCGGUGAUGCGGCCUGUAUUCAGGUCCCCAUAGCCAGCUAAUAUUGAUGCGGAACAUUCGUAUUCGGCAAAUUGGAAGAUGCAGAAGUUCGACAAAUUUUCGAGCAAAGAGACUGAGAAUACAAUAGAGCAUGUCGCUCGAUUCACAACCUAAUUUACAGAAGUGGCCGCUAACCCAUUCUUAAAACUUUGCUUGUUUAAAACGUCGUUAACCAAGAUGGCGUUUACAUGGUGCACGAGCUUACCUGCCAAGAUUGGGACGAAUUGGAGCGUAAAUUUCAUGAGCAAUUCUAUAGAUCAGAAUUUGGAUCAACGGUAGCCGAUCUAGCGUUGUACAGACAGAAGUCGUGACAAACGGUUGAAGAGUACUUGAAUCAUUUCAAAACGGCCAGAAACUAGUGCUUUGUGAGUAUGCCAGAAUCUGAAUUCACCAAAAUGGCAUUUAAUGUUCUGUAUUUUAAAAUAGGGUUAAUUUCAUACAAGUCUCUGCAGAUAUAGUGAAUUACAAAUAUAUACCUACAAAGUUCAACUUUUAUAUGUAGUCCUUGCAAAAGUCAUGAUGUUUUCAAAUAUAUCCCUAUCGGUAGGAUCUGUUAAAAAAAAUUAGUUAACCAUAGGUAAAAUACUUAACCCUAGUUAGCUAAUAAGGUGAAUUAACCUUUUUACCCCUCUUCAAUUAACAGUUGGCCAACUUUUGGUGGGAUAUAUUUGUAAUGGCAAAAAGUUCAUUUCACUUAUUAAAUAAACAACGCUUUAAUGGUAAUAACCUAGAGGGACAUAUUUGAAAAUAUUAAGACUUUUGCAGGGACAACAUAUGAAAGGUGAACUUUAUAGGGAUAUAUUCACAAUUACUAUGUUUGUAGGGACUUGUAUAAAAUAAACCCUUUAAAAUAAAGGACCAUUUCGAAGAUAAGUAUUUUUCUAAACUGUUUGAUCUGGGUGUUCGGGUCGUCCAAUAUAAGCAAUUUAGAAAGGAAAAUAGGGGUGAUCGGCCGUGUUGGAGUCGAAACAAAGAAUGGAACAGGAGAAAAGAGAAAAACCUCUCUUUCAUUGAAGAGGGAUCAGCUCGAGAUGAGUCGAAUACCUCUAGUGAGUCUGAGGACUCGGCUGAUGAAGCUGAUGUAUACGUGGCUGAGAUGGUAAAGAACCGCUAGCCUUACAAGUGUACAAUAUUUAGGCCAACUAAAGCUAUAAAGCAUGAAUUGCUAUAUACAUGUAUUCAUUUGAUGUGACCAAAACUAACUAGAUAUUUGAUCGAUUGUAUAAGGACGGAAGGAUCAAGCUCAUGUUGUCUUCUAGGGUGGAAUUGAAGAAAAAAAAUAUUAGAAGUGGCACCAUUCAUGGAGCAACAUGACUAGUGAUUGCACAACCUUUAAGAGGCAAAUACAAAAGAACAUAAAAAAAAGUCGGCUGAUUUUUGCCGACCAAAAAAAUAAGGAUAAAAUGAAAAUUAACCAAAACCCCUUUCCUACACAGGUUAACAUUGUGGACGUCAAAGGAAAGAAGCCACUUCAGGAGGACAAAUUUCAGGAAGACGUGGUUAAGAUGAGAAGAAUGCUUCGGCUCUGCAUAAGGUGUAAGGCCGAAAUGACACUCCAGGACUGGAAAGUUAUCAUACGUGAAAAGAAGGCGUAUGGGGAAUGGAAGGAGUUCAUGGCCUUGCCUGAGGAAUAGGAAGAUAUAUCCGAGGCCAUCGGUCUUCCGGAUGAAUGGAGGAGGCCUCCAAUGACUCCGAAGAAGAAGUGAACUCCAGGAAGGACUGGAAGGACCCAUCGAUCCGAAAGGUCAUGAACGAGUACUAUCAGAUGAAAGAGAGGACUAGCCAAGAGGGUUAUCCAAGAAAACCUUUCGACACUUAGCGAAGGAACCAGGGGUGUCAGCCCACAUGGCACUAGCACCUACAGUCGAGACCCGAGCCAGAAUUUGAAGGAAUGACUGAGAGAGAUGUAGAAAUCCUCGGUCGGAGACUAAUGAAUGAGCUCGGCAUCCAACCAUGGCCAAUACUGUGGGAAAGAGGAGAGAGCCUGCAGGAAUACCUCAAAAUGGUGAUGACGCCAGCAAACAUGCCAACUAAGCAGUGGUUAACGGCAAGGGCGUCGGUGAGGUAGUAUAGGCCGGUUCUGAUGAAGACACAAAAAUGGGCAGCAAUAGAGGGUGCAGGUCGAGAUGAGACACGACUAGGAGAAAGUGAAAGGAAUGAAGCCGAAUAUGUUGAAACAGUCUGCUCAACGGUUGCCUCCUCGGCCUAUAAAGAAUGAUGAUGAGGCGGGCAGCUCAAAUCCCUUGCCAUGGCCGAAAUCCUAGUAGAGCAGUCGACUGCGGAAAAGCCGAUGAAGAAUGUCACGUGCAAAGAGCUGAAGGAGAAUAUCGUUUCUCUUGAGACUAUCAUCAAAUGAGAGCGAUGCCAUCCAAGUAGAGAGAGGUUAGGCUAGAGAGUGAAUCUUCAGCCGAAGUGGCAAAAGGGUCUGAUGAGGAAAAAGAGAGGACCGGAGAAGUUGCAGUCGAAGGAAAUUCGGCUGACAUGGGCAUGGUGUAAGCGCUGCCAUGCUCGUUCUAGGUAGAGUCAGAAAAGUUUGAGGAGCAGCCUCAAUAUGAAGAGGAGCUAGCAGUGGCCUAGCUCCAGCUUGAGGACUUCAAAGUGGAUGAUGCAGUGUUGUUUAAAAAGCAUCGGCCCUGCAAAACAGGUUUGUCAGGCCUUUGUACAUUAGGGCUUUAAUAGAGGGACGACCUAUUGACCGAGUAAUGAUAGACAACGAGGCUGUAGUGAACGUUAUGCCAACUUCGUUUCUCAAGAAACUGCGCAAAAAUGAAGAUGAGCUCAAGCCCACCAACACAAUCAUGACUGACUUCAUGGAAAGCGGUCAGCAGGCAUGGGGAGUACUGACAACCAAACUGACAGUUGGAUCCAAGACUCUCUGGAUGGCCUUCUUCAUAGUGAAUGCCAAUAGCCACGACAAUCUACUACUGGGGUGUGAUUGGAUCCACGCCAACGAAUGUGUACCCUCGACUCUCCACGAGAAGCUUUUCUAGUGGAUUGGGGAUCGCAUUAAGAAAAUCGUGGCCAAAGAAGCCUCAGUUGGUGGAUGUGAACAUAGGGCGCAUCAGCCAUUUGAAUUAGGCUGAAGCAGACCCGGACCAGAUCUCAUUUAUCGGGUCAGCAAAGACGGAGUAUAGCUGGUACUCCAAAAAGAAAACAGAAGUACUAGCAGCCGCCGAAGAGUCGUCGGCUUGGCUAAAAUGGAAUGUCAGGAGUUAAGAGCCAAGGCUCUGAGGGAGCUUCCGGAUAAAAUGCUGACCAAGGGAGUCGGCCACUUCAAGGAUUUGGCCAUUGCGACCGAUGAAAAAACCAUAGCAAAUGGUUUGGCUCAAAGGGCCGUUGGUAGGGAAAAAGGGCAGCCGGAAGAUUCGGUCGUUAGGGCCGGGAAUGGCAGGCCAAAUGAAACAAUGGCAUCGGCUGGCAAGGCCAACAGGCUGGAGAAAGAAGAAGAAUCGACCACAGGGAUCCAAGCCAAAGUAGGUUUUAUGAAAGAAUCACCAAUCAAGAUUGGGGAGAAGACGUUGGAGACUCAAGACCCGCUGAUCGAGAUGAAUUUAGGGUCGGACGAAGAUAAGCGACCAACCUUCAUUAGUGGAAAACUUUUGGCACGACAACAAGGGGAGUUGAUCGAGCUACUGAGGGGAUAUAAGGAUUGUUUCAUUUGGAGUUACAAAAAAAUGCCGGGACUUAGCUGAAAGAUUGUAGAACAUAGGCACCCUAUAAAAAAAGAAUUCGGCCUUAUAAAUAGCUAACUAGUAGGUUUGAGCCGAAUAUUGAAAAUCUUUUGAAAGCCAAUUUUAUUAGAGCGGCUCGCUAUGUCGACUGAGUGUCCAACAUUAUUCUAGUGCGUAAGAAAAAAGGCAAAUUUAGGGGUUGUAUUGAUUUUAGAAAUUUGAACACGGUUACGCUUAAGGACGAAUACCCUAUGCCUAUAGUUGAUAUGCUGGUAGACGCAGUAGCCGAUCAUGAAAUCCUAUCCUUUAUGGGUCGUCACGCUGGCUACAAUAUAGCCGAAAAAGAUGUAUUGAAAACGGCUUUUAGAUGUCCGAGGUCCAAUGGGACUUUUGAAUGGAUAGUGAUGUCCUUCGAAUUAAAGAAUAUUGAGGCCACUUACCAGUGAGCAAUGAAUUUUAUCUUUCAUGAUCUGAUCAAUAAAAUUUUAGAAAUUUACAUCAACGAUAUCGUAGUGAAAUCCAAAUCUCAGACCGAUCACUAGGUAUAGUGUCCCUGGUGUUUUGCAGCUUGUGUGAUCUCAGCAUCUGAGGCUUGUCGACAUGUCUGGAGAGUGUCGUGACAAGUUGGAGUCGUUUUGGUGCGAAAUGGACGUAAAACGGACUCAACACGAUGCGAGAGUGGAGUUCUGACACUGAAAUCUGCAAAGUGCAGGAUUUCAGUGUUGAGUACCGAUACCGGGGAGGAGUACCGAUACCCCAGUAGAUUUAAGAAUUGGAUUCUCUCAGGUUUACGCGUAUUUGAUGCUGAGUACCGGUACUGACUUAUCGAGUACCGGUUUCGAGCGCAGGUACCGGUGCUACAUCGGGCUGGUACCGGUACCCAACGUGUGAGACUGCAGGUUGAGGACCCGAGUACCGGUAUUCAAGUUAAGUACCGGUACUCUAGCUGAAAAUUUGAGUAGGUGAGGGGCAGUUUGGUCUUUUAAAGUGUCAUUCAUUCCAACUUUUCCCCAGCCUAUUUAUUUACAUGUAGGGUGUUUAGAGAGGGGCUACUGUUUCUUUUCCUUUCUCUCUCUAGCUGGUGGACACCGUGUGUAGGGGAGGUCGAGGCUCGAGCUUGUUCGGAUUCGACGUUACUCCGGAGGACCGUUCGGACGCGUUGGUGUCGCGAUUGCGCCGUUGGAGGUUGGGCGAGCACAUGGGUUCCUUCCUAUCGACUUCUAGCCGACGUUGGCCGAGCGAUCGAGGUGGGUUGAUAUUUACCGAAAUCGUCGGAUUUCCUCCUAAGUCGUCGUGUUGACAGCAUGUAGUUUUUUUGGUUUUGGUUAUCAUGUUGUAGCUCAAAUUCAAGAAAUUGCAUUUUAAAUGAAAACUGAGUUAUGGAGUAUGAUCUAGAAAUUUAGCCCAAUUUAUAUGCUGAAAUUGGAAUUGACUUAGGAGAAAACUAGUAACCCUACACUGUCAUUUUCUGAAAAGUUACCAAAUUUAGCUUUAGAAACUGUUAUUAAUUUGUAUCACCGCUGUUAGUGCGAGGUGGAUACCCAGAUUAGUGUAGAAUGAGUUUACGCUUGAGCUGGGAGGCCGAGCUCAUUUUGCAGUAGAGUGUAGACUGUUUUGUACUGUCGGGUGCCGUCGUGGUUGACGGUGGAUCCAGAUUUCUAUAUCUUGCAUUAGAUUGUGCCAAGGGCACGUGAGCUUUGGUUGUUAGACCAAAUAGACCCAUUUGCAUUGACUACAGCCUGUGAGGGCUUGAUUGAGCUCGGCAGAGACACGCUUGCAUACUCGGUUGGGUCGCACCCACGAGUGUCAUUCCGGAGUCUGGCUACCUUGCUUUGCGUUGAUGUCAUAAUAGUCCGAUUUAGACCUCGCUCUCCACUGGCCGCACUCGGGGUGGUGUAUGGUGUAGCUUAGACCGGCAGGACGGGUGUAUCACAGUCCCUAAUGAGAUUGGGUAAGUGUGAUGCAUUUUCAUAUCUACAGAUAGCCUAUGUUGGUUAGUGAUAGUAUAGUGGCAUGUAGCUGUAGAGUUUUUCCAACUUUCUUUAAUAUCCUUUGCACUUAUUUCUGUAGACUUAGUGGGUGAGCUGUUGAGAUCUGUGGCGGUACCCACUGAGGACUACUUCAUUUUGCAGUAGUUCUCACACCCAGUUGUUGACACCUUUUUGCAGAGCCUUCGUCUGCGGCUGCCACUGUUGCUGAUUCCGACCGCGGGAAGGGAGUCGCGAGCUAGAUCCCUACCAGUCGUGUCGCCGUACUAGAGGAGUACCCUACACAGGUAUUUUUGGGGUGUUUCAGUUCAUGUACAUACCUUAUGUUUGGUUUACUCGCUGGAGCGAAGGUUGGUGUUGGUUCGGAGAUUUUGUAUGUAUUAUGAACCUUAUGUUUUGUAAUUAUUCAUAUUUUCAGUUUAGUAGCUCUUACAUUCUGGUUGUAGCUACGAUUUGAUUACAGGUACAGCUAUCGCUUCGUAUACAUAAAAAAAUUUUAUGUAUACGGCGAGUCCGUUGGCGCGCCCGGGAAAACGUGGUAAUCCGGGGCGUGACACCGGGCCAAUCUAAGAUUAUUAGCCUUCGAACGCAUAAAGAAAUACAAUCUAAAAAUGGAUCCUCUAAAAUGUGCAUUCGAGGUGUCGGCUAAAAAUUUUUUCGAUUUUUUGAUUCAUCAGAAAGGGAUCAAGAUAGAUAAGGAUAAGGCAAAGGUAAUUAUAAAAUUACCGCCACCUAAAACUAAAAAAGAAUAACAAAGUUUACUGAGAAAAAUAAACCAUUUGAGAUGAUUCAUAUCAAAUCUAGCUGGGAGAAUAGGAGUAUUUACUCCAUUACUUCGGCUAAAGAAUCAAGAGGAAUUCUUAUGGACAAAAGAGCACCAGGAGGCUUUUGAACAUAUUAAAAGAUAUUUGAUAAAACCCCCAGUGCUCAUCUCCCCUCGACAAAGACAACCGAUGAAAUUGUAUAUCUCGGUUGUGGAGGAGAACUUGAGGUGUCUGUUAGCUCAGGAGAAUGAUCUAAAAGAGAAGUAAGUGAUCGAAAAACUAUGUUAGGUAUUAUAUUAUACUUGCAUCAAGCUGAAAUACUAUAUCUCAUCUGUCGAAGUGUUGGUUGUCUAUAAGACCGAUCUUAUAAAUUAUAUGUUGUCGUGACCAGUUUUAAGGGGAAGAAUAGGGCGUUGGAUGUUAUCCUUGUCCGAAUUCUCUCUUAAUUACGUCCCGAUAAAGGUCGUUAAGGGUUAGGCAAUAGCCGGCUUUUUGGCUAGUUACCCAUGCAUGUGACGAAAUCUAAGAGCCGAGCCAAAAACUAGUUGGCCUUCGGUCGUGGAUGCUUUACUUUGAUGGGUCCAAGACAUCCGACUCGGCGGUAGCCCGGAUAAUGAUACAAUUAUCUGAAGGAAAAACUUUCCAGUUUUCCGUCAAACUAGAUUUCAGCUGCUCCAAUAACCAAGCCGACCACAAGGCUUUGAUAAUUGGUCUCAAAAUGUUAGACGAGCUAUAGUUGUCAUUGGUGACUCACAGUUAGUGAUAAACCAAUUAAGUGAUCAGAGAGUACCAAUGCGAAAGCCCUAAUCUGUAAAACUACUUGAGCAAGAGAAUGAAAAUUACUUAAUAGAUUUCGGAAGGUGGAAUUUGUGCACCUAUCAAGGAAGGAAAACAAGCGAGCAAACGAGUUGGCUCAAUUAGCUUCAAGAUAUAAAGAGUUGAGAGGGAUGAGCCAGGUCAAGUUUGGCAAAAGGCUGCUACCAUCGAUUUACACGCGACAGCCGAUAGUGAUUGCCCUUGUCAUAGUGCAGGAUGAUUAGAGGACACCUCUAGUUGAUUUCCUCAGCAAUCCAAGUAGACAAGCCAGCUAUCAACUAUAGAAGAAGGCUCUCGGCUAUUGUCUACUAGACGAACAUCUUUAUAGAAGAAUGACUGAAAAAGUGCUUCUAAAAUGUUUAGAAAUCAAGGAAGCCCUGAUAGUCAUAGGUAAGUUCCAUGAGGGGUUGUGUGGGGCACAUUUGGCCGACAGAAAAUUGAGUUGAACAAUUCGACAUAUGGGAUACUACUGGCCAACCAUGCACGAGGAUUACAUAAAGUAUGCCAGAGGAUGUCAAGAAUGCCAAUUCAAUGGGCCGGUGUAAAGGGUACCAGCCUUUGAGAUGCACACUAUUAUCAAGCCUUGGCCGUUCCGUGAUUGGGCUAUAGAUUUGAUUAGAGAAAUUCAACUGAAUUGUUUGGCUGCACAUAAACUUUUUGAUAGUGGCCAUAGAUUAUUUUACCAAAUAGGUGGAAGUAAAGCGCGCGAGAAUGACCACUCAAAAGGACAUUAUAAAAUUUGUAGAAGAUUCCAUCAUUCAUCGCUUCAGGAUUCUCGAAACGAUUAAAACCAAUCAGGGGAUGAUAUUCACAGGGGAGCAGUUCUUGAGAUUUUUGAAAUCAAGACAGAUCAAGCCGCUACAUUCAUCACUUUAUUAUGCACAGGCCAAUAGAGAGGCCAAGGCAGUAAAUAAGGUUAUCAUAAAUAUGAUGAAGCGAUAUAUUGGAAGAUAUCCGAGAAAAUUAAACGAGAAGCUCUCGAAAGUAUUGUGGGUGUAACGAACAAUCGUCAAGACAGAACAAAGGUCACGCCAUUUCGGCUGGUCCAUGGUCACAAGGCCGUUGUGCCGGUCAAAAUAAUGGUCCCUUCAUUAAGGAAGAAAGACAAAAAGAAUUGUCGCCUAAAAAAUACGAACUCUUGAUGUGCUGGAAUUUAGACGAGAUUGACGAGACUCGAUUAUUAGCACUCAAUUAUUUGAAAGCCUAUUAGAGCCGAGUAGGCAACGCGUACAACAAAAGGAUCAGAGCUAAAUCUUUCAAUGUAGGAGACAAUGUUAAAGUGAAUAUUGCCGAUUUGUUGAAAAAGCUAGCUGUACGAAAAAUGAUCUCCGAAUUGAAAAGGAUCAUUUCAAAUAUACAAAGUUGUUAGAGGCAAUGCAUACUUCUUAAAAACAUCAGGAUGAUCAAAAAAUAACAAGGUGAUCAAUGGAAAGUACUUGAGAAAAUAUUAUCGUUCUGUAUAAAAAGACGAAUAAAAUAUUAUCAUAAAAUAAAUGUCAAAAUAUGUCACAGCCGAUAUAUAAAAGUCGAAAAAUCAAAAUAAUAAAUCCUAAAGUUGGUUCCAUUCGAUUUCUAAGUUGGACUGAGCUUGGUCGGCUGCAUGUUUCCUCUGUUUCAUGGUUAGAUGGAUCUUGUAAAGCUGUGUCACGCCCCGAGGCCGAUUUUUAAAGCCAUUUUGAAAACAGAGUUGUGGAAGACGUGCCUUUUUUUUUUUUUUUUCAACCUGGCCCACGUGACGUACUGACCCGCCACAAAUACAAAGUUCCUCUGUCCUCUCGGACAGAGUCUCCUUUGUAUUUGCACGGCGUACCAACAAUACAACAGGAUCUCAACUACAAUCUACAAUUACCAAUCAACAACCAAUUCAUGAUAUGCAUUUUCAUACAGCUAACAAUCCUUAAAGUUGAUGCAUACCUCUAAGCACUCCUUAGGCGCUGGAUGAUGCAAUACACAGUACAACAAUCAUCCUACUUCAAAGUGCUCCCUACCCGGAAGCUUUAUUUUUUAAAAUCUAAUUCAUUCAUACAUGAAAACCAUUCGAAAACCUUUUGAAAACUGUUUUCCACACGGAAACUCUGCUUUGAAAACCGACUACCUCAAGGGGUAGAAAACCACAAUGUAUAAAUCCGUAAAUAUAUAAAUCGAGAAUCAACUAUCCAUAAAACCAAAACCAAGAAUCCACAAAUCUCUAAUCUCAUAUUCACAAUCUCAUGCAUACGAGGAAAACCAACUCAUUCAAACAUUCAAAUAUCAGUAAUGAUCAUCUAACUGAACCAUUUAUUUAAACUGCUAAAAGUAGGAAUGAAAUAACCAGGGUGACGGUUGCUAUACCAGACUAGCUAGAUCGUCAUCUCGUCGCGCCCAACACAAACUCCAAGCCUAAAUCAUCUGGGGAAAUGGGGGGUGAGAAACCGCAAACAUGGUUUCCCAGUGGAUACGACAGAGCCACGAAGGCAAGCCGUAAUCACCGGAAACCAAAGGAGAUAGGUAACAAAUAUAGAUGCUGAUAUGAAGAAACUACAGUAGCUACAACAGAUAAUAAGGAGCAAUAAAUAAAUCUGCUACUGUAUAGAAAACGAUGCUAAGAAUGCCUCAAUGUAAUGAACCAGAAACUGUACCAAUCUGUGCCUGCUAUAUUGGUCCGCAGGCCUCAAGCGCUGCCUGUCACUAACUGCACCGACCUGAUCCAUCUGCCCCACAGGACGACCUAUCCAGAUAAGUACACCUCCGAUCGGUGGCCAAACCGAUCCGGUGUCAUGAAUACCCCCAAGUGCUGUGACUAAGUCAUGCUGGUAUGCUCAAACAAAAACCGGCUGAAGCCGGUGCCUAGGCCGAUGCCAACAACAAGGGCGUACAACGUCGUACUAUGAUAGAUGCUAGGGCGUACAACGCCGAAUCACGAUCAACCAGAUCGAAACACACGACAAAGGAGUCGAUGUGUUGCCUGAACCCAAGGUCCACAAAGAUGCAAUAUACAAAUACAAACUUGCUCUACAUGUCUAUCCACAACUAUCCAAAUGCAAUCAACGAGAUACGAUAACCAAACGAUAAACAAACAAUGACAUGUAGAGACUAAAAUGCUGGAAUAGAAAAACAGGAGAAGGAGGUGAAACGCUCUCACCGACUACCAGCACGAAGCACUCACCUGUCACAAUCGCGUCGGAGAAUCUGGAUGCACACAAGUUGACCGGACCUACGAAGAUCCACUAGGUCAGUAUCCAACCCACUAACCUGAAGUACACUAUCUCACAAACCCCCACACAAGUUCCCGUAAUCGGUUUCCUAAAAUCGAUCACCGUAACUCACCGGAAGUCCCGAAAAUCACACCGGGACGCCGUCGGGACCCACUAAGUGUCCCGAAACUCACCGACUCGUACCACGAGUCAUCCGCUGCCACAAAACACACCAAUUUGGAUGUCUUGGCAGCAAACACAAGAUAACACCACUACACAAUUAUCGUCGAAUAAUUGUACGAAUACGGGUUCCCGGAAGCGUCUAUUUCGACACCGGAACCCACCAUCGCUCACCCAUCAUCACGAACCCACAAAAUGAUGAUGGUGACCAGCCAACAAGGCUCAGCGACAAUUCACAGGAUAAACAAACCACGUCGGAAGAAAUCCGAACUGAAACCGCGUUCUUUCAGCGAAUUUCGCCGAAAAACGCACCGAAAUCGACUUUUCGAUUUCCGCGAAAGCUACAGGAUCAUGGACAAUCAGUCCAAAGGUCAAACACACUCAUACACACUGCCCACAGUAGCCACAAGGUGUACAAUUGCACAAAAGCCCCUAUAUUUACAUAAAAUCCAAACAUUUUAUGUAAAUCGGGCGAUAAAAUAGCUCGUUCACGCAAACCGAGGACUUCUAAAUUCAGCCGAGACACAUACUAAUAGGUCUCGAUGUGCCGGAGGCCGUGCUCAUGAUCUGGAGCGCAACGGCUCACUGUGGGAGGUGUAGAAGCAACCCGAAGUUCUGCGAAUAGCGCGCAGUCGGGGAAAAAUCACGUAGAACAGGACUAACCGGACUCUGUUGAUCCAAAGUGAGGUGACCAAUGUGAUCGGUACUGACCAACGAUCACCGUGCUCACCUCCAGAGGCAUUAGGACAGCCUCGGAUCUCUGGAUAAGCGUGCGCAAACCCAAAACAGCAGCCAAAAAGGCUCGACAGGGUCGACACCGCCGAAACAGCGGAAUAGAGUCUCCCCGGCAGAAUCUAAGGUGAGCACGAUGAUCAGCAAUUUGCUACGAUCAUCGUGCUCCCUUUCGCAGAGAUCGGGGAGGCUCGGGUUGCUCGGAAUAGUAAACCAUCCAAAAUAAGCCCUAUUUCGGGCUUGACCGGGGCAAGCUAGCUCCGGCCGGCUUCCGGCGGCACGGCGAGGCGCGCGUGGGCCAGGGAUGGGUGCGGGGGAGGUGAGGAACACGAUGCUCACCUCCGUUGGCGGCGGGGUGCGGCGGCAGCGGCGGCGGAGCAAUACCAAGCCCGCACCAACUAUGGCUCGGGUUCCACAGGCAAUGGCGGCCACAGCGGCGGCCGCGGAGCUCCGGGACGGCGUAGGAGGGUUGCUGGAGGCCGGAGGGGUGCCUCGAGUGCGGCCCCGAGCGGCGGCAGCGCAGGGAAGAAGUCGCGAGCUUGCCUCUGCCCGAUCGGGUCAGGGGCGGCUGCGGCUAGCCGAGGUGGCGACGGCGGCCCGGAGGGGCGGCGGCGAUAGGCGGGGAGGGACGCCGGAGGUCCGGGAAGUCAGUAGGGGGUGGUCCAAGGUGGCGGCGGCGCUCGGGAAAGGCUGCAGGCUUGCCUCGGCCAGGGCUUGGCCCAGCAAGUUGCAGGGUGCAGCAUCGGCGCUAGGGGCAGUUCGGGGCGGCGGCGGCCGGCGAGGAGGGUCGCCGGGGCUCCGGGAAGACGCCGGGGAAGAGACUGGAGGCAAUGCAGCCUCGGCCAAGGCUCCAACCUGAUAAGAAAAGAGAGAGAGAUGGAGAGAGAUGGAGAGGGAGCUACAGGGAGAUGGAACCUCCUUCUCCGACGACCGGCAGCGUGCGCCGGCGGCUGGGGCGUGCGCCGUGCACUCAUGGGAGGGAGUAGAAGGUGGCGAGGUGCGGCUAGUGUUAGGGUUAGGGUUAGGGGAUCAAAAAACCCUAGGAGCUAUAUAUAUACCAAGGUGCAACUUUGCGAGUUAGCCCCCCAAACCUCAGUAUUUAAUACUGAGUCCUUCUCAGCCCGUGUAAAAUGCGCGAACACACUUCCACGUCCAGUUUCACGCGAAACGAUACAUAAAAUAUCGCAACUUUUGCAAAAAUACCGUUUUGCCAUCACCGACCUCUCCUCGAUCGACGCGCAAUCUUCGCAGAUCCGUCCGUCAGAUUUGUGAACGGAUCACACUAGUACGAUCAGCACGACGGGGACAACAAAGCUACGAUUUUGGUUCACCUUGAUCGAUCACGGAUUCGCGACGAAAUCCGCUUUCUCUCCAAAAGGCCAAAAUGACGCACAAAUACAUAUAGAACAUGUAUUUUCAGAUUUUCUCGAAAUCCGUGCGUCAAACCGAAAAUCCGUCAGCGCCAUUUGUUUCAGAAUAGCUGAAUCAUUCGAAACGAGCUAUUGGACUGCUAUGAACGGAGUCUGAUACAAGUCUGAAGCCAACUUCACACCGUGGCUUCUCCGGAAAACCAAGUUACUAUUCACUUUAAGUGAAACUUGGAAAUCGCGUAGAAUCUCCAUUUUAACUCGUUUUCUUUCGAAACUUGAUGAGUGCUUUUGUAAUAAAAUUACACAUAGAAACAUCGUCAACUGAGAGUUUAGCUACACUGCAAAAAUCUCAGUUCUUACAAGCUGGGAGAGUUGGUCAUGGAUCUCCACUCCCUCAUCCUUCUUGGCUCGGUACUGCAUUUGGAGAGAGUCAAGCUCUUAUGACGUGCAGGCUAGAACCUUUUCUGUUUUGGCAAGCUCCUCCUGGGCAACCCUCUGUCGAAGAGCUAGCUCUUCGUCUUUUAAGACGUCGCUCUACUUGUUGAAGUCGAUUAAAGAAACUGCAAACUCGGUGGCCUUCGCCUUACAAGAGCUGACCAAUGAAAAAUGGACAUCCAUGGAUACUCGGCAAAGAUUGCUUGUUAUCAAGAUAGGAAAAAAGAAAAGAAGGCAGACAACACCUCCGUAAAGCAUCACCCCGAAGAGAAUAUGUCAGAUUGAUCUAGGAGGUCGCUAAGAAGAGCCCCAUGCCAAUCAAACUAAGCCGGACUUUGAGCCAAAGUGGAAAGACCACUAUUGUAUAGCUACAAGCAUUCAUCCAAUUUUCUCUUGGUUUUAGCUGAUACAACAAUUGGGAAGUCCUUUUCGUUGGAUAUGAGGCUCGAGACGGUUAGCUCUUGGAGAGAGAUUGCCAAAGCAUUCUCCGAUCCACUAAAAGACAUAGGAUCACCAGUGCUUGCGUAAGAACGGAAGUCGAGGCUUCGAUCGGAGGUUUAUCAGUAGAAGCUAAGCUAUUUCUCUCUCUCAUCCUGAUUUUCUCUUCUUCUUUCCUCUUUUCCUCCUCUUUCCUUCUUUCUCCCUUCCGGUUCUUUUCUUCACGAGCUUCCGUGCGAGCUCGCCUGUCCCAAUGAUGAAUCUUUGCCUUAAGUUUCGAGACAAACUAAGCACUAAAAAUUUCCAUUGCUGGGCUGCCAGUUUGUGUUGUCAGGAUGGUGGAGGUACUUCGACUGGGAAGUGAGGAGGAGAAGGGAAAUAAUCAAAUGGGUCAAUGACCUACCUCGGUCAAUGACGAAGCUUGCUGCAGGCUCUCUUCAGCAGGGAUCGUUUCUGGAGGAGUCCUUGUUGGGGCUGAUUCGGGUCCUUCCUCAGGCGCGCUGGAAGGUGUGGAGAUCGAAGGAGGUUGAGCCGAAGGAACUACACCAGAGAUUGGCUCUUCAACCUUAAAGGGUGGUUAUUCAUUGGCUAAUGUGGGGGCCGGCUGAGAGCGAAGCCUGCUCAAAACCAAUUUUCGCCGUUUCUACUGCAGCAGAGGAGCUGGAGAAGUAGCUUCGAUCGUCCGUUUUUUCGACGGCCAAACUGGGGGAUCGAAAAUACGAAGCGGCUGAGAAGAAUGAAAGAAAAAAAGCCGAAAAAUAUAGUAAAAAGUAGAUGCACCAUAAAAAGUAAAAUAUACUAUUAGAUGGCAAAGGAAAACAUCCGCCUUCUUGUCAGAAUCCUCGCUUGAAUCCUUUUGCUUUGGGGAGUCGGGCAUGACUUCUUUUUCCUUAGAAGUGCUGGCUGAGACGAAAAAUAAAAUGAAUCAAAAAAGUAAGG